UACGUAGGUGGCAAGCGUUAUCCGGAUUUAUUGGGCGUAAAGGGAACGCAGGCGGUCUUUUAAGUCUGGUGUAAAAGGCAGUGGCUCAACCAUUGUAUGCAUUGGAAACUGGUAGACUUGAGUGCAGGAGAGGAGAGUGGAAUUCCAUGUGUAGCGGUGAAAUGCGUAGAUAUAUGGAGGAACACCGGUGGCGAAAGCGGCUCUCUGGCCUGUAACUGACACUGAGGCUCGAAAGCGUGGGGAGCAAACAGG
This 252-nucleotide ribosomal RNA is filed under the name uncultured bacterium. RNAcentral's name for it is "partial 16S ribosomal RNA". It matches the Rfam family "Bacterial small subunit ribosomal RNA", at positions 524 to 776 of the family's 1533-position model. The record is from RNAcentral.